CCUACGGGAGGCAGCAGUGGGGAAUCUUGCGCAAUGGGCGAAAGCCUGACGCAGCAACGCCGCGUGCGGGAUGAAGGCCUUCGGGCUGUAAACCGCUUUCAGCAGGAACGAAAAUGACGGUACCUGCAGAAGAAGGAGCGGCCAACUACGUGCCAGCAGCCGCGGUGACACGUAGGCUCCAAGCGUUGUCCGGAUUUAUUGGGCGUAAAGAGCUCGUAGGCGGUCUAAUAAGUCGGGUGUGAAAACUCUGGGCUCAACCCGGAGACGCCAUCCGAUACUGUUAUGACUUGAGUUCAGGAGGGGAGCGGGGAAUUCCUAGUGUAGCGGUGAAAUGCGCAGAUAUUAGGAGGAACACCGGUGGCGAAGGCGCCGCUCUGGACUGAAACUGACGCUGAGGAGCGAAAGCAUGGGUAGCAAACAGGAUUAGAUACCCUGGUAGUCCAUGCCGUAAACGGUGGGCACUAGGUGUGGGUUUCGACUAACGAAAUCCGCGCCGUCGCUAACGCAUAAGUGCCCGCCUGGGGNGAGUCGCGAGANAACACAAGAGUAAGUGNGNGNGAGNGCGACGACGACGACGAGGAGGAGGAG
RNAcentral lists this ribosomal RNA (588 nucleotides) under uncultured bacterium. Its description in RNAcentral is "bacterial SSU rRNA". The stretch from base 1 to 519 matches the Rfam family "Bacterial small subunit ribosomal RNA", at positions 338 to 873 of the family's 1533-position model. The record is from RNAcentral.